UACAGAGACUGCAAGCGUUAUUCGGAUUCACUGGGCGUAAAGGGUGCGCAGGCGGUUGGGUGUGUCAGAUGUGAAAUCCCGAGGCUCAACCUCGGAACUGCGUCUGAAACUACUCGACUAGAGUACUGGAGAGGGUAACGGAAUUCACGGUGUAGCAGUGAAAUGCGUAGAUAUCGUGAGGAACACCAGAGGCGAAGGCGGUUACCUGGACAGUUACUGACGCUCAGGCACGAAAGCAUGGGGAGCAAAAAGGG
RNAcentral lists this ribosomal RNA (254 nucleotides) under uncultured bacterium. Its description in RNAcentral is "partial 16S ribosomal RNA". It matches the Rfam family "Bacterial small subunit ribosomal RNA", at positions 524 to 777 of the family's 1533-position model. The record is from RNAcentral.